Molecule: unclassified non-coding RNA, 329 nt
Filed under: Carex incurviformis
Lineage: Eukaryota; Viridiplantae; Streptophyta; Magnoliopsida; Poales; Cyperaceae
Description: partial external transcribed spacer 1
Source: RNAcentral
CUGUCACUUGGAUUUUUGCCGGCUCUCACGGAUGCAGUGCCUAGUGCUAGCUCUGCGUGACUUUGCCACGCAGACUUCGGGAGGUCCCCUGUACGAAUCAUUGCGAUGUGGACGCCGUUUGUCGUGUUGCUUGUUUGGCACGCAAAUCGUAUUGUUCUGUCUGGAGUCGGGAUGACGAAGGGCAAGAAUGAAGUGUCCGGGGCAUGGUUGCGUACAUGCGGAAUGCCUCUCUGAUCGUAUGAGCAGCGAUUUCCGGCUCGCGUCCUGCGAAGGCCCGCCCGUUUGGGUUGGUGCUGGAGCUGACGCGUCGGCUCUCGUUUAAGACGUGC